RNAcentral lists this ribosomal RNA (473 nucleotides) under uncultured bacterium. RNAcentral's name for it is "bacterial SSU rRNA". It matches the Rfam family "Bacterial small subunit ribosomal RNA", at positions 335 to 797 of the family's 1533-position model. The record is from RNAcentral.
ACUCCUACGGGAGGCAGCAGUAGGGAAUCUUCCACAAUGGGCGCAAGCCUGAUGGAGCAACACCGCGUGAGUGAAGAAGGGUUUCGGCUCGUAAAGCUCUGUUGUUAAAGAAGAACACGUAUGAGAGUAACUGUUCAUACGUUGACGGUAUUUAACCAGAAAGUCACGGCUAACUACGUGCCAGCAGCCGCGGUAAUACGUAGGUGGCAAGCGUUAUCCGGAUUUAUUGGGCGUAAAGAGAGUGCAGGCGGUUUUCUAAGUCUGAUGUGAAAGCCUUCGGCUUAACCGGAGAAGUGCAUCGGAAACUGGAUAACUUGAGUGCAGAAGAGGGUAGUGGAACUCCAUGUGUAGCGGUGGAAUGCGUAGAUAUAUGGAAGAACACCAGUGGCGAAGGCGGCUACCUGGUCUGCAACUGACGCUGAGACUCGAAAGCAUGGGUAGCGAACAGGAUUAGAUACCCUGGUAGGAUACCG